This 76-nucleotide transfer RNA is filed under the name Clostridia bacterium. RNAcentral's name for it is "tRNA-Pro". It matches the Rfam family "tRNA". From Rfam's summary of the family: Transfer RNA (tRNA) molecules are approximately 80 nucleotides in length. Their secondary structure includes four short double-helical elements and three loops (D, anti-codon, and T loops). Lineage: Bacteria; Bacillati; Bacillota; Clostridia. The record is from RNAcentral.
CUAGGUGUAGCUCAGCUGGUAGAGCGCUACCUUGGGGUGGUAGAGGCCGCAAGUUCAAGUCUUGUCACUUAGACCA